UACGGGGGGGGCAAGCGUUGUUCGGAAUUACUGGGCGUAAAGGGCGCGUAGGCGGUCUGCUAAGUUGGAUGUGAAAACUCUGGGCUUAACCCAGAGCCUGCAUUCAAUACUGACAGGCUAGAGUUCUGGAGGGGAUAGCGGAAUUCCUGGUGUAGCGGUGAAAUGCGUAGAUAUCAGGAGGAACACCGGUGGCGAAGGCGGCUAUCUGGACAGAGUCUGACGCUGAGGCGCGAAAGCUAGGGGAGCAAACAGG
RNAcentral lists this ribosomal RNA (253 nucleotides) under uncultured bacterium. Its description in RNAcentral is "partial 16S ribosomal RNA". It matches the Rfam family "Bacterial small subunit ribosomal RNA", at positions 524 to 776 of the family's 1533-position model. The record is from RNAcentral.